GGUGUAGUAGCAUAGUGAUGUGAAGAUUCAGUAUAUUAAAUUAGUUCAUACUAGUGUUACUCCACUCAAUGCUUUUUGAUGUUAAGCCUGUACACUGUGCCAACUAUGAGGCACACUUCGGUUCAGGCACUAAAUUAACAGUUCUCGAGCCAGACAUCCCUGUCACUCCACCCAAAGUCAAAGUCCUUCCACCCUCCACUAAGGAGUGUGAAGAUAGAAACAAGAAGAAGAAGAAGACGUUGGUGUGUGUGGCCACCGACUUCUACCCCGACCACGUCACUGUGUUCUGGAAGUUAAAUGGAGGCGCCAACAUCACCGAUGGAGUGGGGACCGACAACACUGCCUUGAGGGAUGAAAACAGACGCUACAGUAUCACCAGCAGACUGAGAGUCCCAGCCAAGACAUGGAACACGGCCUCUAACAGAUUCACCUGCGCCAUCCGCUUCUUCAAUGGGACCGAUAACAUAUAUGUUGCAGAUCACAUUAACGGAGAAGGAGGUGGUGAUGGAGGGAUGACGACAGAGUACUACGUGAAGAGCACCCAGACUGCCAAGCUGGCCUACAGCAUCUUCAUCGCUAAGAGUACCUUCUACGGCCUGGUCGUCGUGGCUCUGAUUUGGAAGUUUCAGCGCUCCUCAGAUAAACAGAUGUAAUUGAUCCCUGACUGAGACCAGGCCACCUGUGGAAGCUGAACUCUGUGGACUGGAGGGAGUCAUGUGUGGCAUAAGGCUCUGGUGAAAAGUAGUGCACUUUAAAGUAGUGCACUAUAAAGUAGUGCACUAUAAAGUAGUGCACUAUAAAGGGAAUAGGAUGCCAUUUGGGACGAAGAACAAACCCAUUUCUAUCAUGUGAUUACAAUGUACAGUGUGCUGUCUAUUAUCUGUCACUUACUAGACAAUGUGAGGAUGUAUUUUAUCUAUCACUUACUAGACAAUGUGAGGAUGUAUUUUAUCUAUCACUUACUAGACAAUGUGAGGAUGUAUUUUAUCUAUCACUUACUAGACAAUGUGAGGAUGUAUU
Non-coding RNA from Oncorhynchus gorbuscha (pink salmon), 1020 nucleotides. The record is from the annotation of a RefSeq genome assembly. Lineage: Eukaryota; Metazoa; Chordata; Actinopteri; Salmoniformes; Salmonidae.